Molecule: RNA transcript, 4401 nt
Organism: Aethalodelphis obliquidens (Pacific white-sided dolphin)
Lineage: Eukaryota; Metazoa; Chordata; Mammalia; Artiodactyla; Delphinidae
Gene: CRACR2A
Gene name: calcium release activated channel regulator 2A
Exons: 19
Source: RefSeq, a predicted model, not a curated record
GAAUGUACAGAAGAGGCAGAAACGUACAAAGGACAAAACCCCAGAGAUACCAGCUGGAGGGGGCCUGGGUGUUGCAGGUGUUCAGGGCGACUCACCUAGUCUGUAACUUUUCCUAGCGGGCGGCUAAGGCCGGGGACUGAUGUCCACCUUUAGAGAAAUGCCUGGAAACAUCCUGGAAUGGGGGCAAGAGCCCUCAGGGACUCCGGAACAGAGGGGCCCAGGAAGCCCGACCAGUCAGGCAGGCUGUCACCAGCAGCCCCGCCCUCGACACCCAGGCUCCCCCGCAGGGCAGUCAGAGGUCGCCGCCGGCUCGGUCCCCACGCGGCGGGCGCGCGCAGAUCCCGGAGGGCGCCCAGGAGGCGGCGGCUCCCGGCGCCGCUUCCGCUGGGGGCCGGUUCAUUGGCACGGGGUCGCGCGGAGCGGCGGGAGGGCGGGCGGUGCCUGACAGCUGUGGGCCGGCGGCGCACGGUGGCUGCGGAGUCGAGGCGGCUGGUGCAAGGUCCCGCCCUGACCACAGCUGCCCUUCAGGAGACUGGCCUGGAGCCACGGUCGGGCCACUGGGCUGCUUGUCAAGGGUGGGGCAGUGGCGACUUGCCGCCUUGCCUCGUCAGCCCGGCCUGGGGCUCCACCUGGCACUCGGUGCGGCCACGGAGAGAGCUCCAGGAGGAGCCCCGGCGCAGCAGGACCCCGGAGACCGGGAUCCAGAAGGAACCGCAGGAGAGACCAGUCAAGGUUCUGAAACAACUCGAAGAAAUUGACAGAUCUGGAUGGCCACGCCCGACAGGAGAGUGGUCUCCAGACCCCGGGGACCUGGCUGGGGGCACCAGGGGAGCGGGGCCUGCCCGGGCUCCCUGGACGACCUGCCGCGUGAGGGGACCCAGGAGCUGGCACCAGCACAGCUGACCAUGCUGAGGAAGGCACAGGAGUUCUUCCAGACCUGUGAUGCCGAGGGCAAGGGCUUCAUCACCAGGAGGGAUAUGCAGAGGCUGCAUGAGGAGCUGCCCCUCAGCCUGGAGGACCUGGAGGAUGUGUUUGAUGCCCUGGAUGCUGACGGCAAUGGCUUUCUGACCCCAGCGGAGUUCACCACUGGAUUUAGUCACUUCUUCUUCAGCCAGAAGAAGCCGAGUGAGGAAGAUGGAGCUGAGCACCUGGCCCAGCUCCAGGAAGAGAAGGUGUAUCAGACCAGAGGGUGUGAGGAUCUGGGUGACAUGGACGGAGAUGAGGAAGGCCAGUUCCAGAUGCUGAUGGACAGGCUUGGAGUCCAAAAGGUUUGGCAAGAUGAAAAUGACGUCAAGCAACUCUGGCUGCAGCUGAAGAAGGACGAGCCUCACUUACUGUCCAACUUUGAGGAUUUCCUGACCAGAAUCUUCUCGCAGCUCCUAGAAGCCCACGAGGAGAAGCAUGAGCUGGAGUGCGCCCUGAAAAGGAAAAGUGCUGCCUAUGAUGAAGAGAUCCAGCACCUCUACGAGGAGAUGGAACGGCAAAUCAAAAGCGAGGAAGAGCAGUUUCUCCUGAAGGACACGGAGAGGUUCCAGGCGUGCAGUCAGGAGCUGGAACGGAAGCUGUUCUCCAAGGAGCAGGAACUGGAGCGGCUCAUCCAGAAGCAGAAGCGGCUGGAAGGCCAGUGCACCGCCCUGCACAACGACAAGCACGAAACCAAGGCUGAGAACACCAAGCUGAAACUCACCAACCAGGAGCUGGCCGGGGAGUUGGAGCGGACAUCCUGGGAGCUGCAGGAUGCCCAGCAGCAGCUGGAAAGCCUCCAGCAAGAGGCCCGAAAACUCCACCAGGAGAAGGAGAUGGAAGUGUACCGCGUCACGGAGAGUCUGCAGCGGGAGAAGUCAGGGCUCCUGAAACAGCUGGAUUUCCUAAGGGAAAGGAACAAGCAUCUUCGGGAUGAACGGGACAUAUGUUUUCAGAAAGACAAGGCAGCCAAGGCAAACACAGCUGCUUCCAAGGCAAGCCAGAAGCAGCGAUCUGGCUCUGUGAUCGGCAAAUACGUGGAUGGCGGAGGGACGCUCAGAAGCCAGUCAGAGGAGGAGGAAGAUGUGUUUGGCAUCCUGCGGAGGAGAAGCUCCCUGGGCCUGAGUGGGCACCCCCUUACAGAAGAGGGGCUGGGGACCGGGGGUCUGCUCUCCCGGCCGCUCCGCAGAAUCAUCUCCAUUGAAGAGGACCCGCUGCCCCAGCUGCUGGGGGGCGGCUCUGAACAGCCACUGGGCCAAUGCCCGGAAGAAGCGGAGGCCUUCGACCAGGGGGCGGAGGGACAAAUCGGGCCGUCCCGACCUCUGGAACUCAUGCCUGCGUCUCCCCGAGGGCAGCCCGUCGGAAAAGAGACCCCGUCUAAGGAGGAAGGCUCUGUGUCCACCCCAGACCGGCUCUUCAAGGUCGUGUUUGUGGGCAAUUCCUCCGUGGGGAAGACGUCCUUCCUGAGCCGGUUCUGCGACGGCAAGUUCUCCCCGGGUUCAGCAGCCACCAUGGGCAUCGAUUACCGCAUGAAGACCGUGCGUGUGGACGACUUGCGGGUGGCCCUGCAGCUGUGGGACACGGCGGGGCAGGAGAGGUAUCGCUGCAUCACCCAGCAGUUCUUCCGCAAGGCCGACGGCGUCGUGGUCAUGUACGAUCUCACAGCCAGGCAGUCCUUCCUGGCCGUGCGCCCGUGGCUGAGCAGCGUGGAGGAAGCUGUGGGAGACCGCAUUCCCGUUCUUCUGCUGGGCAACAAAGUUGACAACGAGAAGGAGCGGGAAGUGCCGCGGGGCCUGGGAGAGCAGCUGGCCCAGACAGGGACUCAGGACCUCAGAGGCUAGGAAAGCAGGCACAGGUGGUGAAACUCAAGGGAAAAAGGAAGAAGAGAGUCCCACAGCUGCAUGUCCAUGGGCUGCAUCCACAAUUCCCAGUCCAAGGAGCUCUGAGCACAGAGGUUUUUGCAUUGCGUUUGGCAGAAAAAUCCUGACCGGAACCGAUGUGAGGCUAUUUAUGGGUUUUGUUUACCUCACUUUGAAUAAAUAUUCAAAUAUUUCACUGAAGAAUUAUUAAUAUAUUUGAUUAUAGCCUGCUAUCCCAGAUCCACAGAGGCUAUUAAAUAAUAUGUAUUAUAGACAAGUAUUCACUUUCUAAAACUCAAAAAUUCUGGAUUCCAAAAUGCAUCUGGAUCCAAGGUUUUUGAUUAAGGAAGUGCAGACCUGUGUUUUUAGUUUGUCAUCCCAUUUUCUUUUCUUUUCUUUCUUUCUUUCUUUUUCUGUCUUUCUGUCUUUCUGUCUUUCUGUCUUUCUCUCUUCCUUUCUAGUGGAAAAAAACCCUGUGGCUCCUAGAAGUUAAGUGAUUUAUUCAAAUUCUCACCCGGCCCCAGGGGUGGGGUCAGGACUCGAAGCUGGAAGGCAAAUCACAUCUCCCAGUUCUAGGUCCUGCAUGCUGCCCGCACCCACACAGAACCUUAAACCUUCCACAGAUGGAAGGGGAGUCAGGGCCCAACCGAGGCAUGCAGGGACCAGACCAGGUGAAGGCAGAGGAUGGAGCUGGGCCAGCGUUCGCGGGGCCUCCUGAUCUGCAACCACAGAAGUGUCUGCACUCAGCUACCCGUCCCCCCAGGGCGUCAGCCUCCAGGGCUCAUGCCAGAUGCCAUUAGCAUUGUCAUUAAGGAAGCAGGAAACCUAUUAAUGGGAGUGACAAGUGGAAUAAGAUGGGCCUUGGCCACGACACCCCUACCUCCACUCUCACAGUCCAGCUUCUGCCUAGCAAAGGGAUGGACAAUUGUCCUGUGGAGCCAGUGCGGAUGGCGCGGGCAGCGGCGUAUUAAUUAACUGGUGUAUGAAUUAACUGUGCCCGUGUCCUGGGGAAAGCAGGCUGCUGGGAGCCCCGCUGUGACCCAAACAGGCCCACCCGCCAUUCGUACCCUCCUGAGCCUCAGUUUCCCUGCCUGUAAAGUGGGAUGGAUGUUGCCCACCCUGGCCUCUGUGUCUCGGCCUGCAUCACAGGCUGGUGUGAAAAGAAAGGAGCCCGUACAUCCCGGACAGCAAUUCCAGAAAGUGUAAAACACGAAGGCAGCAGUGUAGGUCCUAUUGUUUUAUAGUUGUUACGGCUCCCCUGAGAGAUAGUUCCAGAGCCUGCAUCAGUCAGGGAGCAGGAGGGACAGAAAUCAACCUGGUACAGAGUGGGGAGGGGACGACACAAGGAAGUGAGGGUGUGGUAAGUGCAGAGGGGCAUUCUCCCAUGCCCCCCAUGGCUCCCUCCAGCCCCCCCCCCCCCAUAUUCUCCUUCAUGCCCUCUGUUCUCUGAUUCCAGGAGCACAACCUGAUCUUCUACGAAUGCAGUGCCUAUUCCGGUCACAACACCCAAGAGUCCGUGCUCCAUCUGGCCAGGAUCCUCAAGGAACAAGAAGACACAGUGAGGGAGGACACCAUUCAG